GCAAGUCGUACGAGAGUUUUUAAUUCAAGUGGCGGACGGGUGGGUAACACGUAAGAAUUUGCCUUUAGGAGGGGGACAACAAUUGGAAACGAUUGCUAAUACCCCAUAUGCUUUCGAGUGAAAUGGAUUUUUUCUGCCUGAAGAGAAGCUUGCGGCUGAUUAGCUUGUUGGUAGGGUAAUGGCCUACCAAGGCGACGAUCAGUAUCUGGUUUGAGAGGACGAUCAGACACACUGGAACUGAGACACGGUCCAGACUCCUACGGGAGGCAGCAGUAGGGAAUUUUCCGCAAUGGGCGAAAGCCUGACGGAGCAAUACCGCGUGAGGGAUGACUGCCCAUGGGUUGUAAACCUCUUUUUUCAGGGAGGAAUAAAUGACGUGUACCUGAAGAAUAAGCAUCGGCUAACUCCGUGCCAGCAGCCGCGGUAAGACGGAGGAUGCAAGUGUUAUCCGGAAUCACUGGGCGUAAAGCGUCUGUAGGUGGUCAAAUAAGUCUACUGUUAAAUCUUAAGGCUCAACCUUAAAAUCGCAGUGGAAACUAUUCGACUAGAGUAUAGUAGAGGUAAAGGGAAUUUCCAGUGGAGCGGUGAAAUGCGUAGAGAUUGGAAAGAACACCGAUGGCGAAGGCACUUUACUGGGCUAUUACUGACACUCAGAGACGAAAGCUAGGGUAGCAAAUGGGAUUAGAUACCCCAGUAGUCCUAGCCGUAAACGAUGGAUACUAGGUGUUGAACAGAUCGAACUGUGCAGUACUAAAGCUAACGCAUUAAGUAUCCCGCCUGGGAAGUAUGCACGCAAGUGUGAAACUCAAAGGAAUUGACGGGGGCCCGCACAAGCGGUGGAGCAUGUGGUUUAAUUCGAUGCAACGCGAAGAACCUUACCAGGGUUUGACAUGAUACGAAUUUUUUUGAAAAAAGAAAGUGCCUUUUG
RNAcentral lists this ribosomal RNA (928 nucleotides) under uncultured microorganism. RNAcentral describes it as "SSU rRNA". It matches the Rfam family "Bacterial small subunit ribosomal RNA", at positions 57 to 1023 of the family's 1533-position model. The record is from RNAcentral.